This 5438-nucleotide long non-coding RNA is filed under the name Oryza sativa (Asian cultivated rice). Its description in RNAcentral is "long non-coding RNA (OSAT_LNC000802)". Lineage: Eukaryota; Viridiplantae; Streptophyta; Magnoliopsida; Poales; Poaceae. The record is from RNAcentral.
GUCGCUCCCGCCGCUGCCGCUCUCGACGGCGUCGCGGUGGGUGGUGGGCGCGGACGGGCGGCGCGUGAAGCUGGCGUGCGCGAACUGGGCGUCGCACCUGGAGCCCGUGGCGGCGGAGGGCCUGUCGCGCCGCGGCCUUGGGGACAUCGCGGCGCGCGUGGCGGCGAUGGGGUUAAACUGCGUCAGGCUCACCUGGCCGACCUACCUCGCCACCAACGCCACGCUGGCGAACCUGCCGCUGAGAGCGUCGCUGGAACGCCUUGGUAUGCCGGAGUCCGUGGCCGGCGUCCGGGUCAACAACCCCGGACUCCUCGACCUGCCCCUCAUCGAUGUGUUCCAGGUGAGCGUCUCUUCGAAUAAGCAAACACGGAGUAAAUGACAACGUUGGUUUCUCCAAGUUGUUAAGUAAACUUAUUAUUAAUGGCAGUUCUAAGAAAUGGCUGUUUUUUUUUUAACAACCACCAUGGGAAAUGGAAGCUGUUUCUAUUGUUAGCGAGUUCGAGUCUUCGAGAUGGCGCCAAAUUUUACCGUGUCUUACCGCUAGAUGCUACUACCUCCGUUUCAGAUUAUAAGACUUUCUAGCAUUACCCACAUUUAUAUAGAUAUUAAUGAAUCUAAGCACACGUAUAUGUCUAUAUUCAUUAACAUAUAUAUGAAUGUGGACAAUGCUAGAAAGUCUUAUAAUAUGAAACGGAGGAAGCAGUAUUUUCGCUGAUAGAGUGCAAGAAAAUACUCCCUCCGUCCAAGAGUUGUAGGAGAAAUUAAGUAAAGGUUAAGGUGAAACCACUUUCAUGUACCCUGGUUGAAUCCCCAUGCCACCAUCCGAUUCACCGGGAUGGGGAAUAUAACUAUGAGGGAUGGUUGAAAACUUGGAAUGUGGAAAUAUACUCUAGAAAUGUUUAUAGAAAAUAUUCGUGGACUAAAUUUAAACACUAGAAAUGCUUAUAUUUGUGGACGGAGGGAGUAGAUAACGUUGUACCUAGAAGAACAUUUACAUUUUUUGUUGUUGAAAGCUAUGGGCUCAUUUAAACAUUUAAGUCAGAGUCCAUGUAAAUUUUACAUUUUUCUGAAGAAAUAGCUAUUAUGAUGCAUAAGGCUUAAUUGUGGAAGCAACAGUAUGCAAUGAAUCAAUUGACUUAUAGCUAAACCAACUGCAGGUCAUGUGGUUUAAUUUAACAAAAACAACUUGCUAAGAAGUCAAAAUUUUGCAGAUUAUUGAUUUUGAAAUCAGAUGAUCUCGUCACAAUCUUUUCACAAGACUUGCCAAAGAAACCUAGGGUAUCCUCUUUUUUUUUUGCUUAUUUAAUAAGAACAAUCAAUUUCAAGUUGAAGGUUUAAGCAUAAUCAACAAUCUGAUCGUCCUUUUCUAUUUCAGGAAAAACCAAUGGUAAUUGUUUGAGUAGCUUUCCCUUUUUCCUUUUGUUUCUCUUCCAAACCAGUUUAUGUGAAGAUGACAUUAUUCCUAAUAGUCACCAAAUUGAUGGUCCAAGAUAAGGGUGCCUUGAAAGUCUCUAGCUAGAUAAAUUCUUUCUUUGUAAAAUAUGUUCUGACGAUAGAUGGCAACUGGGGUCAUUAGGUGGUCUGCUUCCUUUUUUUAAAAAAAAAAAUCCAAACCAGGGAUGUAUUAGUUAUCUCUCAUUUUACAAUGAUGUAUCUAGUUAGUUGACCUAGUAAUCUACCAAAACAUGUGUUCACAUACUCAGGAGUAUAUUCUGGGAGAGUUUACCCGUACUAAACAUUAAAUGAAAUAAAGUAAACGAGAUUUUUGCUAUCAAGUGUUGAAUUCUGAUUAUUUACUCCUUCUGUUAAAUUAAUAACCAUAGGAAGUGGUGUCAGCUUUGGCCAAGAACAAUAUAAUGGUUAUACUUGAUAACCAAAUGACAACUCCAGGAUGGUGCUGCAGCGAAAACGACGGUAAUGGCUUUUUUGGUGACAAGUACUUUGGCCCAGAAGAAUGGUUGAAAGGCCUUAGUGCAAUGGCAACAAUGUUUAGGAACACAAAAAAUGUUGUGGGCAUGAGUUUAAGAAACGAGCUCCGAGGCUCCAAAAAUGUUAGUUUGUGGUUCAGGUUUGUUACUUACACACUGAGUCUUACUUUUGCUUAUAGAAGUAUUGAAAAGGCUUUUAUGUGUGACUCGUAUCAUUGGAAAAUUUUCGUUUAUAAUCUAUUCCAAACUUAGGUACAUGCAACUGGGUGCUGAAGUUGUGCAUGCGGCAAACCCUGGCGUUCUUGUUAUUUUGUCAGGCCUGAACUUCGACAAUACUCUGGAUUUCUUGGUCCCAAAUCAAAUUCAGCUAACAUUUACUGGAAAGUUAGUCUUUGAGCAGCACUGGUAUGGUUUCUCAGAUGAUGGAAACUGGGGAUCUCAGAACCAAAACGAUGCUUGUGGGAUGGUUGUUGAUUCCAUAAAGAAAAAAGGACUGUUCCUACUUCAGCAAGGCUGGCCACUGUUUUUCUCCGAGUUUGGGUUUGACAUGUCUGGGACACAUGUCGCUGACAAUCGCUAUCUUACCUGCUUCUUAACCGUGGCAGCUGAAAUGGAUCUGGACUGGGCUAUUUGGGCUCUGCAAGGGAGUUAUUAUAUCAGGGAGGGUACUCUAGCUUAUGAUGAAUCUUAUGGAUUGCUAUCCUGGGAUUGGUGUACAGCUAGAAACCCCAGCUUUAUUAAAAGGAUUAAUGCUCUGCAAUCACCAUUCCAAGGUUUGUACUUAACCUAUCUCAGUUUUAUUCUUACAUAGCAACGUUGUUAGUAAUACAACUCUCAAGAUUUCUGGAACUGUGCUGUUGUUCUACGUUUUGAUAAUCACAUUAAAAAUGGAGCUCUCUGGUAAAAUUGAAGUUAUAAUGAAUCCUCAGUUGCUGAACCAACAGAAAAAACCUGUGCAUAUUUCAUUGGUUGAAUUGGACCGCUUUUCAGUUUUUCACCUUUUUGGGUUGUGUUGGAACAGAUUUAUUGGAACAUAUAUGAAAUCGGAGCAUUAACUAGUAUGCACACAUUGGUUUAGCCCUCAUCAUAGAAUAACGUGUCCCUUGAAAAGAAAUCACUUGGAUGGAUACACAGGCCGAUGUGCAAGAAAGUAAGCAAAGGGGCUAUGUAACUUGUAAAAGUCCACUAAAAGUUUGGUCACAACAAUAUGCACUGUAUUUCCUUGAGCUAUACAUAUUAAUGAAUAUUCCAUCCUCCAGGUCCCGGGCUUCCAAACAGUCAACAGCCUUACAAUGUUAUAUUCCAUCCUCUAUCUGGGCUUUGUGUCUUGGUGAAAUCUUCAGAGGCACUUGAGUUGGGUCCAUGUGAUAAAUCAAAUGCUUGGAAUUAUACCAAAGGAUACGAGUUAAUACUCAAACAAACUGGACAAUGCCUCCAGGCGAAGUCUGUUGGUGAGAAUGCAAAGCUUGGCACCAGUUGCAGCAAAUCCAGUUCAAAGUGGAAGCUACUAUCAAAUUCAGGAAUGCAUGUUUCAACUGAACUCACCAAUAACGGAACCAGAGUAUGCUUGGAGGCCAGUCCUGAUGGAAAUAUCACGACAAAUCAGUGCAAGUGCCUAACCGUAGAUCCGAAUUGCAAUCCUGAGAGUCAGUGGUUCAAAAUUAUAUUAAGCAGUAAACACAUACCAGGCGGCACCUCCAUUUUGCAGUUGCCAUCUCAUGGUCCCUGGUCUCCAACAUCAUCUAGUUAAUCUUGGACUAUUUCGAAAAUAUCCUGUUUGAAUUUGAUCAAGGACGAAUAUGACAGAGCAAGUGUCAAGUUCCAGAUGGUUAUUCAAGGCAAUUGGAUGACUAUAGUAUUGCAGCUUGUAAAAUAAUACACAGAACACCGUAUGUGUACAGUAGUAGUACCAUUGAUUUCUUGUUUUCUAGAGUCCUGUUGAAAUAUGUCCUAUCAUAUGUGUACAAAAAUUAAGAAUAAAAGAAUGUACAGAUAAAUACCCUGCUUUUUCUUUGAUACUACAGAGAAUAAAAGGGAUAUCUUUUUAUAGUUGGUGUCAUAUGUUGACAUGGGUGAAAACAUUUUUUAGCCGGGUUGGCCGAAGACAUGGCCAACCAAUUACUUCCUCCGUUUCACAAUGUAAGUCAUUCUAGCAUUUCCCAUAUUCAUAUUGAUAUUAAUGAAUCUAAAUAGAUAUAUAUGUUUAGAUUCAUUAAGAUUAAUAUGAAUGUGGAAAAUGCUAAAAUAGUUUACAUUGUGAAACGGAGGGAGUACAUCAAGAUUUAGAGAGAAAAGUUACAAAUUACAAAUUGAUGUUGACAGUAGGCUGUCGAGGGCGGGGCUAAAGGAAAUAAAGCCGGCGCAUCUUAGAACACAACUAUUGUUAGCGUGCCGGUAACAGCAAACACCAACUACUGUUCUUGCAUCUUGAACAAACCCCGCUUCGCGCCACACCAUGAUUUUCUCCUUCCUUCACUUCCGCGAACAGACAUCAACUCUGCAUUGCUUGUCACUGCAUCCGCACUUGGCGAAGCCCAUGCGAAUAUGCGAUGAUGGUGUAAGUCCGCCCGCACAUACAGCCAGAGAAACGCAUCCGGUGUUGAGCAUUUCCACGAACAGGUGGUGGGUGUCCUGUGGGUGCCCCCCUCACGCGCACGGAGCAAGGACGUUGUGCGUUCUGCUCGGAGAGAGGCGAACAGGGGCCCGAGGCGGAGCAGACGGAGCGCGUAGGCAAGGCGGGAAGGGAGAGCCACCGUCAACUCGACGGGAGCGACGACGGAUUCGGGCGAGGUGGCGAGCGCGCGGGGGCUUGAUCAAAGGAGGGCCGCGUGGAGCUGAUGCGCGUCGCACAGAGCCACGCCGGCACACCGCGGGAGGUAUGAAAGGCGACGGCGGCGGCGGCGCCGUCGCAGGCGUGGCGGUGGCGAGGAGAGGCGGCCAUCGGAGUGCGCGCUUCCGCAGUUAAAGCCCCCAACCGCUUAACCGAACGAGCCCGGGCUGUCACGUUUCGCUAAUUAUCCAAGCGGACGAAGACCAUACGUGACACUGCAACCGGGGCCCACCGUCGUCCGGGCCCACCUGUCAUUCACACGUCUUUUUUCCUUUUAAACGCACUAGAUCCGCCUCGUUGGCAUUCUGCCACGCCAUAGUUACCAUGGCUUCCUCCGCUUGUCCCACUCCACUUCUCCUGCUGCUGCUCCCGCUCGCCGCCGCCGCCGCCUCGCUCCCGCCGCUGCCGCUCUCGACGGCGUCGCGGUGGGUGGUGGGCGCGGACGGGCGGCGCGUGAAGCUGGCGUGCGCGAACUGGGCGUCGCACCUGGAGCCCGUGGCGGCGGAGGGCCUGUCGCGCCGCGGCGUGGGGGACAUCGCGGCGCGCGUGGCGGCGAUGGGGUUCAACUGCGUCAGGCUCACCUGGCCGACCUACCUCGCCACCAACGCCACGCUGGCGAGCCUGCCGCUGCGGUGGUCGCUGGAGCGCUUUGGCAUGCGGGAGUCCGUCGCCGGCGUCCG